This is a long non-coding RNA of Beta vulgaris subsp. vulgaris (sugar beet), 1199 nucleotides long. RefSeq lists it as uncharacterized. Lineage: Eukaryota; Viridiplantae; Streptophyta; Magnoliopsida; Caryophyllales; Amaranthaceae. The transcript is spliced from 2 exons. The record is from RefSeq and is a predicted model, not a curated record.
CAUAUUUUUCCCCAUAGCACUUAUAUCAAGACCAUGUUUUGGCUGCCAUAUAUUUUUAAUAGUAGCCAUAAAUGCGUUGACAUUUAUAUGUCUCCCAGUCCAGAUUUUCCCUACCAAUCCCAAUUCAACCCUAUCGUCCUCCGCUUCGGUCUCCCCCUCCACCCAAUCAAUUGCGUCCUCCUUGUCGUCCUCCAGUGAUAUUGCUCUUUUUAAAGAAGAAUUAUCCAUUAUUUCCCCCGUCCGAUGUUUCUCAACCGUAAUAUUACCCUCCUUACUUCCCACUAAUGGUUGUGAGGCCAUUAGCGAAACCACCAAUCUCAAGGAGAAACCUUGAGAUAAUCCUCCAGACGAGGAAAAAACUAGCGCCGCCGGCUAGGCUAUACCCUCCCAAGGAAACCUAGAGGGAACUUUUUUUUUUUUUUUUUUUUUUUUUUUUUUUUUUUACCCUUUUAACUUGUAAGAUAUGAAAUUAUACAUUCGAGUACAAGCAAUCUAAUUCCUCUUUGCUCUCUCUCCUCUCUCCUAUUUCGAUUACUGUCUUCUUUCUUCAAGCUCCAUUAAUGGAGUUCAAUACAUGAGAACGAAAUUUUGGCUCCAGGCGAAACUUUUGCUGAGAUUCUUUACUCAAAAUUCUCUGUUUUUGUUCAAUUAAUAUCCGAAUUUCCUCAAUUUGUUUUUUGAUUUCUAACACUCUCUACCGACUACAAUUCUCCUCAAAUCUUCUUUUCAUCUUUUGUAAUCAACAAAAUGUUGAUUAAUUCUUCUGUAAUUGUUAAAAUCUUGAUUGAACUCGUCGUUCUUCAAUCGAAAUUUUCUGACCUAAAUUUGCGAUUUUCAUCUUUCUUUAGGUGAAUUAUUGCUCGUGCUGGAUGAAUUGCCGAAGUCAGAGGAGAUCUAUUUCAAAUUCAAUUGACUUUCAGUUCUUAUUCAUUAACAAGGUACAUUUGAUCUAUCCUGAGGAUUGUGAUGUCUGUAACCAUUUCCUCAGGUUUUGGAUUCACUGUUAGUUGUGGAGUAGGGAUUUGCUAGCAUUGCAUCUUAGCCAUGUAACACAGACUAACUUAAUCUUUCUAAUGGGAAACACUUAAUUUAGGGCCUGUUUGGUAUUAUUGUGGUUUUCUGUUUUUUGGUUUUUCGAUUUUCAAAGUCAUAUGAUACAAGUCCUAUAAUGAAUAAAAAAUUAGUCAAUUUAUUGGGAA